This 535-nucleotide ribosomal RNA is filed under the name uncultured Acidobacteriota bacterium. RNAcentral describes it as "bacterial SSU rRNA". It matches the Rfam family "Bacterial small subunit ribosomal RNA", at positions 8 to 522 of the family's 1533-position model. Lineage: Bacteria; Pseudomonadati; Acidobacteriota. The record is from RNAcentral.
AGAGUUUGAUCAUGGCUCAGAAUCAACGCUGGCGGCGUGCCUAACACAUGCAAGUCGAACGCGAAAGUCCCGCAAGGGAUCAGUAGAGUGGCAAACGGGUGAGUAACACGUGGGUGACCUGCCUUCGAGUGGGGGAUAACGUCCCGAAAGGGACGCUAAUACCGCAUGACAUCCUGCCUUUGAAGAGGUGGAGCUUAAAGCUGGGGAUCGCAAGACCUAGCGCUUGAAGAGGGGCCCGCGCCUGAUUAGCUAGUUGGUGAGGUAACGGCUCACCAAGGCAACGAUCAGUAUCCGGCCUGAGAGGGCGGACGGACACACUGGGACUGAGACACGGCCCAGACUCCUACGGGAGGCAGCAGUGGGGAAUUGUUCGCAAUGGGCGCAAGCCUGACGACGCAACGCCGCGUGGAGGAUGAAGAUCUUCGGGUCGUAAACUCCUUUCGAUCGAGACGAACGGCUUCCGGGUGAACAAUCCGGAAGAGUGACGGUACCGAGAGAAGAAGCCCCGGCUAACUCCGUGCCAGCAGCCGCGGUA